AAGAGUUUGAUCCUGGCUCAGAUUGAACGCUGGCGGAAUGCUUUACACAUGCAAGUCGAGCGGCAGCGCGGGGGCAACCCUGGCGGCGAGCGGCGAACGGGUGAGUAACAUAUCGGAACGUACCCCGUCGUGGGGGGAUAACACAGCGAAAGCUGUGCUAAUACCGCAUACGACCUGAGGGUGAAAGCGGGGGAUCGCAAGACCUCGCGCGAUGGGAGCGGCCGAUAUCGGAUUAGCUUGUUGGUGAGGUAAAGGCUCACCAAGGCGACGAUCCGUAGCUGGUCUGAGAGGACGACCAGCCACACUGGAACUGAGACACGGUCCAGACUCCUACGGGAGGCAGCAGUGGGGAAUUUUGGACAAUGGGCGCAAGCCUGAUCCAGCCAUUCCGCGUGCAGGAUGAAGGCCUUCGGGUUGUAAACUGCUUUUGUACGGAACGAAACGGCGAGCUCUAAUACAGUUUGCUAAUGACGGUACCGUAAGAAUAAGCACCGGCUAACUACGUG
This 506-nucleotide ribosomal RNA is filed under the name uncultured bacterium. RNAcentral describes it as "bacterial SSU rRNA". It matches the Rfam family "Bacterial small subunit ribosomal RNA", at positions 1 to 507 of the family's 1533-position model. The record is from RNAcentral.